RNAcentral lists this transfer RNA (53 nucleotides) under Macrovipera schweizeri. RNAcentral's name for it is "tRNA-Cys". Lineage: Eukaryota; Metazoa; Chordata; Lepidosauria; Squamata; Viperidae. The record is from RNAcentral.
GGCCCCGAGAAUGUCAGACUGCAAACCUGACUUCGGCGCUUUGCCCGGGGCUU